AACGAACGCUGGCGGCAUGCCUAACACAUGCAAGUCGAACGAGACCUUCGGGUCUAGUGGCGCACGGGUUCGUAACGCGUGGGGACCUGCCCUUAGGUUCGGAAUAACUCCCCGAAAGGGGUGCUAAUACCGGAUAAUGUCUUCGGACCAAAGAUUUAUCGCCCUUGGAUGGGCCCGCGUUGGAUUAGCUAGUUGGUAGGGUAAAAGCCUACCAAGGCGACAAUCCAUAGCUGGUCAGAGAGGAUGAUCAGCCACACUGGGACUGAGACACGGCCCAGACUCCUACGGGAGGCAGCAGUGGGGAAUAUUGGACAAUGGGCGAAAGCCUGAUCCUGCAAUGACGCGUGAGUGAUGAAGGCAUUAGAGUUGUAAAGCUCUUUUACCCGGGAUGAUAAUGACAGUACCGGGUGAGUAAGCUCCGGCUAACUCCGUG
This 433-nucleotide ribosomal RNA is filed under the name uncultured bacterium. RNAcentral describes it as "partial 16S ribosomal RNA". It matches the Rfam family "Bacterial small subunit ribosomal RNA", at positions 29 to 507 of the family's 1533-position model. The record is from RNAcentral.